UGCCAGCCGCCGCGGUAAUACGGAGGGGGUUAGCGUUGUUCGGAAUUACUGGGUGUAAAGGGUGCGUAGGCGGCUUCGUGUGUCAGAGGUGAAAUCCAGCGGCUCAACCGUUGGACUGUUCCUGAAACUGCGGAGCUUGAGUCCGUGAGAGGAAGGCGGAAUUCCUGGUGUAACGGUGAAAUGUGCAGAUAUCAGGAAGAACACCCGUAGCGAAGGCGGCCUUCUGGUGCGGAACUGACGCUGAGGCACGAAAGCUAGGGUAUCGAACGGGAUUAGAUA
This 279-nucleotide ribosomal RNA is filed under the name uncultured bacterium. Its description in RNAcentral is "partial 16S ribosomal RNA". It matches the Rfam family "Bacterial small subunit ribosomal RNA", at positions 506 to 784 of the family's 1533-position model. The record is from RNAcentral.